Molecule: long non-coding RNA, 215 nt
Filed under: Homo sapiens (human)
Lineage: Eukaryota; Metazoa; Chordata; Mammalia; Primates; Hominidae
Description: non-protein coding lnc-FOXQ1-25:1
Source: RNAcentral
UACAUUACAUAGUGAAUAUGUAGUUUAUAUAUUGACUUUGCCACACUCCAGACAUUCUGGUUACAUUUGAACUUUCUUUAGGGCACCUGAUCUUACACCAGUUUCCUUUGGAUUGACUUCCAGGAUCAUCUCCUGAAGUCCCAAGAGCUAGAGCUGUCCAGGAAUUAAGUUGGUGCCUGUGAUAUCAUAAAGACAUAUUCUUUGGACCAUAAUAG